GUUGCUUUGGCCGAGUGGUUAAGGCGUGUGCCUGCUAUGUACAUGGGACUUCCCCACGAGAGUUCGAAUCUCUCAGGCAACG
This 82-nucleotide transfer RNA is filed under the name Ipomoea nil (Japanese morning glory). It matches the Rfam family "tRNA". Rfam says of the family: Transfer RNA (tRNA) molecules are approximately 80 nucleotides in length. Lineage: Eukaryota; Viridiplantae; Streptophyta; Magnoliopsida; Solanales; Convolvulaceae. The record is from Rfam by way of RNAcentral.